Molecule: ribosomal RNA, 477 nt
Filed under: uncultured organism
Description: partial 16S ribosomal RNA
Rfam family: Bacterial small subunit ribosomal RNA
Source: RNAcentral
GUACACUCCUGCGGGGGGCAGCAGUGGGGAAUAUUGCACAAUGGGCGCAAGCCUGAUGCAGCCAUGCCGCGUGUAUGAAGAAGGCCUUCGGGUUGUAAAGUACUUUCAGCGGGGAGGAAGGCGAUAAGGUUAAUAACCUUGUUGAUUGACGUUACCCGCAGAAGAAGCACCGGCUAACUCCGUGCCAGCAGCCGCGGUAAUACCGAGGGUGCAAGCGUUAAUCGGAAUUACUGGGCGUAAAGCGCACGCAGGCGGUCUGUCAAGUCGGAUGUGAAAUCCCCGGGCUCAACCUGGGAACUGCAUUCGAAACUGGCAGGCUAGAGUCUUGUAGAGGGGGGUAGAAUUCCAGGUGUAGCGGUGAAAUGCGUAGAGAUCUGGAGGAAUACCGGUGGCGAAGGCGGCCCCCUGGACAAAGACUGACGCUCAGGUGCGAAAGCGUGGGGAGCAAACAGGAUUAGAUACCCCGGUAGUCCCAUG